UUCAAUAUGUAUCGUGUAUUAAUAUAGUAUAUGUUGCACCGGAUAAAAUGUUGUUAACCCUCUUGCUGCCGAAGGAACACAUAUGUCAAUCAUGUUAAAUUGAUACAAGCUUCUCAUCAAUGCUGUAUCUCUUUCAGUUAAAAGACCAAGAUAACAGUGUUAUGUUUUUCUUCAAUAGGUCCCAAAUGUAAAGGUAAUUAGUUCGUGACGUCAUAUAUCAAAGGACGUUGUUGUUUGGCAUGUUACGUCACAGACGCCUAGCUGUCGUAUUUAUGCAACCUUGAAAAACGGUCAGCAGCAAGAGGGUUAAAGUAGUUAUUAUGAUAUGACAAUCUCUCUAUCGACUUGAGUCAGCAAAAGGAAGUUAAAUAAUAAGAUGGACUUUUAUUUGUAUUUUUAUAACAUUACCGA
Molecule: long non-coding RNA, 411 nt
Filed under: Mytilus galloprovincialis (Mediterranean mussel)
Lineage: Eukaryota; Metazoa; Mollusca; Bivalvia; Mytilida; Mytilidae
Source: RNAcentral